GUCGGUAUUAGGUGAUGAUGGAGAUGGGGACAGAGGUGAGCCAGAGUGGGGAGGAGUGAAGGGAGCCAAAGCAGACAUUCACAGCCUAAGCUUCCAUCCUCGUGGAGAGGGAAGCGGCUGGAGGAGAGAGUCAGAGCCCACAUUGUCUCCCCAGCAACACCCCUGAAGAAAGGUGGUUUCUUCCUCCUAACAGCCCUAGGAGCUGGGGCGGGGUGGAAGGGAGGAGGGGGGACAGACUAUCUGUCUCGGGGCGCCUGUGACCCGACGAGAGCUGAUGAAGUUGGCCUGCCUGAGGAAAGAAUCUCCUGUUUUGAUUCACUCUUUAUCCAUCUAAGGCAGCAAAGGAAGAGCCUUAUAAUGCUCCGUUCGGGUAUUUGCCAGACACCUUAGACAGACACGUGUUCAUUCCUGACUGGGCUGAUGUCGCCGCCUUCCAGCCUCAGAACGGGGAGGGAGCUGAUGUGCAGAUCAGGUGCGUCUGAAUAAGACAGGAACCGUGCCGGGCUCAGCCUCUGACAAUUUACCUGGAACCCUUAG
RNAcentral lists this long non-coding RNA (537 nucleotides) under Phascolarctos cinereus (koala). RNAcentral's name for it is "lncRNA (ENSPCIG00000006830.2)". Lineage: Eukaryota; Metazoa; Chordata; Mammalia; Diprotodontia; Phascolarctidae. The record is from RNAcentral.